CAAAUUCCAAACAGAAAAACAAGUUGCAACAAUAACAAGUGAACAUAACCAUAUGAAAUUUAUUUUACAUGACCAUCAUUCUAGAUUCCAACUACAAUCCAGAAAAAUCAGAAAACAUCAUCAAUCUUUUACAAGUACUUAACCUACCUCUCAUCUCACCAUGACUCGCUCAAUUGAUAUGGUAGUCUCUCAAUCAACAUGCAAAAUAGUUUAUACUGAGAUUUAUCAUGUUGUAAUAGAAUUUAUCAAAG
RNAcentral lists this long non-coding RNA (251 nucleotides) under Lathyrus oleraceus (garden pea). Its description in RNAcentral is "Pisum sativum (pea) long non-coding RNA (PSAT_LNC018371)". Lineage: Eukaryota; Viridiplantae; Streptophyta; Magnoliopsida; Fabales; Fabaceae. The record is from RNAcentral.